This 26-nucleotide non-coding RNA is filed under the name Homo sapiens (human). The record is from RNAcentral. Lineage: Eukaryota; Metazoa; Chordata; Mammalia; Primates; Hominidae.
UCCUUCAGCUGGUGUAGUAGAUGUGG